UGAAAGUUCAUUUCACAGUAAGUUCAUUAGUCUCCAAAGGUACUACAGGACUCUCUAGCUGCUAGAGAGUCCUGUAGUACAUUUGGAGACUAAUGAACUUACUGUGAAAUGAACUUUCA
This is a non-coding RNA of Podarcis lilfordi (Lilford's wall lizard), 119 nucleotides long. The record is from the annotation of a GenBank genome assembly. NCBI's taxonomy places the organism in Eukaryota, Metazoa, Chordata, Lepidosauria, Squamata, Lacertidae.